This 398-nucleotide transfer-messenger RNA is filed under the name Bacteroidaceae. RNAcentral's name for it is "Prevotella sp018065145 Standard tmRNA". It matches the Rfam family "transfer-messenger RNA". From Rfam's summary of the family: Bacterial tmRNA, also known as 10Sa RNA or SsrA, is named for its dual tRNA and mRNA-like properties. Its role is to liberate the mRNA from a stalled ribosome. Lineage: Bacteria; Pseudomonadati; Bacteroidota; Bacteroidia; Bacteroidales. RNAcentral also lists the same sequence under 1 other name. The record is from RNAcentral.
GGGGUUGACUGGAUUUGACAGCGGACUGGGAUUGUGUGUAAGCAUGCGGAGUUAAGACUGUGCACUCCAUAAUCUCGUCGGUCAACAAUUUAAUUGGCGAAACACGUUACGCUCUCGCUGCUUAAUCGAAGUAUAGUAGAUUAGCUUUAUUCCCUUGCAAGGCGAGGGAACGGGACAUCGCUCAGAGCCCCCUCCUUGAGGCUUACUGGUUAUAGCGGUGCUGGAAUAUCAGGGAUAGUCGGUGGCUUGCCUCGCGUCGUCGGCAAAACUUUUGAGGAUAAGGUUGCGAUUGGUGGCUUGGGUCUUGUCGUAACACGAAAAUGAAGGCCAAGAUAAGCAUGUAGAAAGCAUACGGUUUCACCGUUUGGACGAGGGUUCGACUCCCUCCAGCUCCACUU